AUGAACGCUGGCGGCGUGCCUAACACAUGCAAGUCGAGCGGCAGCGAGGGGUGCUUGCACCCUGUCGGCGAGCGGCGGACGGCUGAGUAACGCGUGGGAACGUGCCCCAAAGUGAGGAAUAACUGCCCGAAAGGGUAGCUAAUACCGCAUAUUAUCUUCGGAUCAAAGGAUUUAUCCGCUUUGGGAGCGGCUCGCGUCGGAUUAGGUAGUUGGUGAGGUAAUGGCUCACCAAGCCGACGAUCCGUAGCUGGUCUGAGAGGAUGACCAGCCAGACUGGAACUGAGACACGGUCCAGACUCCUGCGGGAGGCAGCAGUGAGGAAUCUUCCACAAUGGGCGAAAGCCUGAUGGAGCAACGCCGCGUGCAGGACGAAGGCCUUCGGGUUGUAAACUGCUUUUAUAAGUGAGGAAUAUGACGGUAACUUAUGAAUAAGGAUCGGCUAACUACGUG
This 450-nucleotide ribosomal RNA is filed under the name uncultured bacterium. RNAcentral describes it as "partial 16S ribosomal RNA". It matches the Rfam family "Bacterial small subunit ribosomal RNA", at positions 29 to 507 of the family's 1533-position model. The record is from RNAcentral.